GAUCCUGGCUCAGGACGAACGCUGGCGGCGUGCCUAACACAUGCAAGUCGAGCGGGGAAUGUUGAGCAGCUUGCUGCUUGGCAUUUCUAGCGGCGGACGGGUGAGUAACGCGUGAGCAACCUGCCUUUAUCAGGGGGAUAACGCAUCGAAAGAUGUGCUAAUACCGCGUAAGACCACAGCUUCACAUGGAGCAGGGGUCAAAGGAGCAAUCCGGGAUAAAGAUGGG
RNAcentral lists this ribosomal RNA (226 nucleotides) under uncultured bacterium. Its description in RNAcentral is "partial 16S ribosomal RNA". It matches the Rfam family "Bacterial small subunit ribosomal RNA", at positions 15 to 229 of the family's 1533-position model. The record is from RNAcentral.